UACGGAGGAUGCGAGCGUUAUCCGGAUUUAUUGGGUUUAAAGGGUGCGUAGGCGGACGCUCAAGUCAGCGGUAAAAUUGCGGGGCUCAACCUCGUCGAGCCGUUGAAACUGGGUGCCUUGAGUGGGCGAGAAGUACGCGGAAUGCGUGGUGUAGCGGUGAAAUGCAUAGAUAUCACGCAGAACUCCGAUUGCGAAGGCAGCGUACCGGCGCCCUACUGACGCUGAAGCACGAAGGCGUGGGUAUCGAACAGG
This 252-nucleotide ribosomal RNA is filed under the name uncultured bacterium. Its description in RNAcentral is "partial 16S ribosomal RNA". It matches the Rfam family "Bacterial small subunit ribosomal RNA", at positions 524 to 776 of the family's 1533-position model. The record is from RNAcentral.